Molecule: ribosomal RNA, 253 nt
Filed under: uncultured bacterium
Lineage: Bacteria
Description: partial 16S ribosomal RNA
Rfam family: Bacterial small subunit ribosomal RNA
Source: RNAcentral
UACGUAGGGAGCGAGCGUUGUCCGGAUUCAUUGGGCGUAAAGGGCGCGUAGGCGGCGGGGUAAGUCAGGUGUGAAAUCUCGGGGCUCAACCCCGAAACUGCACUUGAUACUGCCUCGCUUGAGUACUGGAGAGGAGACUGGAAUUUACGGUGUAGCAGUGAAAUGCGUAGAUAUCGUAAGGAAGACCAGUGGCGAAGGCGAGUCUCUGGACAGUUACUGACGCUGAGGCACGAAGGCCAGGGGAGCAAACGGG